UAAAUCCUUUGCAGACAACUUAAAUAAAGAACCGGGGCAUUGCAAGGAGUAGAGUAGCCUUGUUGCUACGGUCUGCUGGAAUUAAACCCUUGUUCUAAGAUUU
Non-coding RNA from Paramuricea clavata, 103 nucleotides. NCBI's taxonomy places the organism in Eukaryota, Metazoa, Cnidaria, Anthozoa, Malacalcyonacea, Plexauridae. The record is from the annotation of a GenBank genome assembly.